RNAcentral lists this ribosomal RNA (964 nucleotides) under Monanchora arbuscula. Its description in RNAcentral is "SSU rRNA". It matches the Rfam family "Eukaryotic small subunit ribosomal RNA", at positions 33 to 997 of the family's 1831-position model. Lineage: Eukaryota; Metazoa; Porifera; Demospongiae; Poecilosclerida; Crambeidae. The record is from RNAcentral.
UGUCUCAAGACUAAGCCAUGCAUGUCUAAGUAUAAACGCUUCUAUACUGUGAAACUGCGAAUGGCUCAUUAAAUCAGUUAUAGUUUAUUUGAUGGUUCCUUGCUACUUGGAUAACCGUAGUAAUUCUAGAGCUAAUACAUGCAGAAAGUCCCGACCUCUGGAAGGGAUGUAUUUAUUAGAUCCAAAACCGGCGCAGGUCCUCCGGGGCCUGGUUGCUUGGUGAUUCAUGAUAACUGCUCGAACCGUAUGGCCUCUCGCGCCGACGGUGCUUCAUUCAAAUUUCUGCCCUAUCAACUUUCGAUGGUACGGUAGUGGCCUACCAUGGUUGCAACGGGUGACGGAGAAUUAGGGUUCGGUUCCGGAGAGGGAGCCUGAGAAACGGCUACCACAUCCAAGGAAGGCAGCAGGCGCGCAAAUUACCCAAUCCCGACUCGGGGAGGUAGUGACAAUAAAUAACAAUGCCGGGCUAUCGUAGUCUGGCAAUUGGAAUGAGUACAAUCUAAAUCCCUUAACGAGGAACAAUUGGAGGGCAAGUCUGGUGCCAGCAGCCGCGGUAAUUCCAGCUCCAAUAGCGUAUAUUAAAGUUGUUGCAGUUAAAAAGCUCGUAGUUGGAUUUCGGGGCGGCCUGGUUGGUCCGUCGCAAGGCGAGUACUGGUCAGCCGCCCUUCCUCUCGAAAGCCCCGACUGCUCUUCACUGCAGUGGUCGGGUAGUUCGGGACGUUUACUUUGAAAAAAUUAGAGUGUUCAAGGCAGGCUUACGCCUGAAUACAUUAGCAUGGAAUAAUGGAAGAGGACCUCGGUCCUAUUUUGUUGGUUUCUGGGGCCGAAGUAAUGAUUAAGAGGGACAGUUGGGGGCAUUCGUAUUUAAUUGUCAGAGGUGAAAUUCUCGGAUUUAUGAAAGACGAACAACUGCGAAAGCAUUUGCCAAGGAUGUUUUCAUUAAUCAAGAACGAAAGUUAGGGGU